CCUACGGGAGGCAGCAGUGGGGAAUAUUGGACAAUGGGGGGAACCCUGAUCCAGCGACGCCGCGUGAGUGAAGAAGUAUUUCGGUAUGUAAAGCUCUAUCAGCAGGGAAGAAAGAAAUGACGGUACCUGACUAAGAAGCCCCGGCUAACUACGUGCCAGCAGCCGCGGUAAUACGUAGGGGGCAAGCGUUAUCCGGAUUUACUGGGUGUAAAGGGGGCGUAGACGGCGAUGCAAGUCUGAAGUGAAAGGCGGGGGCCCAACCCCUGGACUGCUUUGGAAACUGUAUGGCUGGAGUGCAGGAGAGGUAAGUGGAAUUCCUAGUGUAGCGGUGAAAUGCGUAGAUAUUAGGAGGAACACCAGUGGCGAAGGCGGCUUACUGGACUGUAACUGACGUUGAGGCUCGAAAGCGUGGGGAGCAAACAGGAUUAGAUACCCGAGUAGUC
Molecule: ribosomal RNA, 443 nt
Filed under: uncultured bacterium
Lineage: Bacteria
Description: partial 16S ribosomal RNA
Rfam family: Bacterial small subunit ribosomal RNA
Source: RNAcentral